GGGAAGUCUGAAAAUCUCUGAGUUAAGCAUAUUCUUACCUGAAUUCCCCUAUAGCUGUCUCCACUGCAUCUAACCAUAUAGAUUCCUAUCUUCUUUCCAGGUCUCUGAAGUUCUGGAACUUUGCUCUCCCUGGACUUCUGGCCUCUGUCCUUAACACACAAUGAGUCAGGAAGAAGGAUGAGUUAACAACAUGUGCACACACACACACACACACAUGCAUAUGAGGGAGAGAUGAUUUUUUUUUUUUGAAAGCUGACCGUCAGUCAUGACAACCACACAUUCCCUCCUGUGGAUGAUGUAAGAAUAGAGUACAAAUGUCACACAGGCUGCUGGUUACAGCUACCAAGACCCUUAUGAAAUCCCGCUCUAUCAUUUUUGUUAGAAUACCUGAAACAUAGGAGGUAUUUAAUGUGUACUUUUGAAUAAUGAAAGCUUCUUGGACUCACACCUAUCAUCCCACCCCAUCCUGCUGGACCCUAGAGAAGACAACCAGAUUCCUAGUUUUCCUAUGCUUCUCCUUGCUGUCUAAGGUGAGCAUCCUUUGGCCCCCUUGCCCUGUCUGGACAGAGUGGUCUGACAGCUCAUCCUUUGCCUUCUGGGUUGCUGUCCCAUUCAGGGUUCAGUCAGGAGCAGAAAUCACACCAGCUAUUCAAAUGAGAGAAUUUAAUACAAAAGAUUGUUGGCAGGCACAAGAUUGUCCCACUGGAGAAGAGGCAAGGAGAGAAGCAAACCUGCUGUCAUGGAGGUAGUAACUGCAGGAAGCAGCCACCACCCCCAGAGCCGUAGGUACAAGGCAAGAGACCCAUAUACUCAAACUCAGAGACCCGGAGGGUGGGCCAUGGAGCUGAAGCUCAGAUGCCUGAGGAGGAGGCUCAGCAGCUGCUGGUGUCUGAUCUUAGAGAAGGGGCCCCCAGCCCCAGUCAGUACUGAUGUCUCCAACAUGGGAGGGGUGCAAGAACACGACCCUGAUUUGAGAGACUUUAAGUGGGAUUCAGUUGCUACCACAGGAAGGAAUUGUUGUUGCAAUUACACAAUGAGGGGAGGCUGGAAUGCUCCCAGGAGCCCAAGCCCACAGCAAGCAGGUGGGGGAAGCUUUCUCCUCUGGGAAUGCAGUCUCCUGGGGGUGAGAGGAAUCCCGGCCCUGCCUCAUAAAGCAGGCCUGGAGCAGAGGACAGAAUAUGGGGCUGAGAGACAGCAACUUGAUGACUG
Molecule: long non-coding RNA, 1209 nt
Filed under: Marmota monax (woodchuck)
Lineage: Eukaryota; Metazoa; Chordata; Mammalia; Rodentia; Sciuridae
Source: RNAcentral